Molecule: ribosomal RNA, 253 nt
Filed under: uncultured bacterium
Lineage: Bacteria
Description: partial 16S ribosomal RNA
Rfam family: Bacterial small subunit ribosomal RNA
Source: RNAcentral
UACGUAGGGUGCGAGCGUUGUCCGGAAUUAUUGGGCGUAAAGAGCUUGUAGGCGGUUUGUCACGUCUGCUGUGAAAAUCCGGGGCUCAACCCCGGACUUGCAGUGGGUACGGGCAGACUAGAGUGUGGUAGGGGAGACUGGAAUUCCUGGUGUAGCGGUGAAAUGCGCAGAUAUCAGGAGGAACACCGAUGGCGAAGGCAGGUCUCUGGGCCACUACUGACGCUGAGAAGCGAAAGCAUGGGGAGCGAACAGG